UUGAGCUAUACAUAUUUUAAAAUUGGUUUAUUGAAUUGUUAAGAAAAGGAGAAAAUGCAAAGGAUAUUUUCAUGUGUACAUCCUCAUUUAAAAUUUAGAUUUUUAAACUUUGUUAAGUGCUUUUAAAGUAUUUUGCAUUGGAAAAACCAAAGUCAUACUUUUAUAGGGUAUUGUUAAUGGGACAUUAUGUAUUUUAAUCAUAGGAAUUGUGCUUUAUAAGAAAUUUUAUUCUGUCUUGACAUAUAUAAUUUUGUAUUAAAUUGCAUGACACUAUUUAAGACAGUUUGGUAAUUGACAAAUCAUUUGAAAUUAUUAUUUCUAGAUGAAUCUAGCCUGCAAAGUAUACGUUUGUAAAAGUUUAAGUGCAAGGUAACAUAAAAUGGCUUCUGGAAAUGUUUUUGCAUUACAACUAAAAGGUAAUUAAUAAUUGGUCUCACAGCUAUGUAACAUUUCUGUGUUUGUUCAUUGUUUUUGAAAAGAAUGAAAAGAUUGCCCAGAUGUCUUCAAAUUUUUAAUUCUCAUCUCUAAGAUUAUAAUAUACUUGAUAAAAAAUUCAGAUUGUCUUGGUAUAUGUUUUUGUCUUUACAAGAGGAACACCUAAAGGGAAUUGUCUUUUUAAUCAGAUGCAUUCAUUUUGAAGAUAAUGGCAUUGCUAAAGUAAGCAUUUUGCUAUGCUAUGCUAAAUGUACUCUGAAUAUGUAAAUAUUCAUAUGCAUAUAUAUGUUAAGCAUAUGAAAUUGGUUUUACAUUUUCCUCAUUAAGCUAUUGCUUUAAAUUUCAUUUUUCCUUGAAAAUUAUAGAAUUUUCAAGGUUAAUUCUAAGGUCAAAAACAUUUCAAGAUGCCCACUUUAUGUAUAAAAUGUUAAUUUUUAUAUAAACUAAUAUCACAAGUAUAGCUGUGUUUGAUUUUUGUAUUCAUAUAUAUUUCAUGUAAUGUGACCUAGAUAUAAGAUGUAUAUGAAAAUAAAACGUAAUGAACAUUAUCAUUUUUUGAACAUUUUGGCAAUGACAAUCAAAGUAUAUAAAAUUUCCAAAAUUAUAUAGCUUACUGCUGGAUUUUUAUUUGUACCAGAUCUUAAAUUUAUAAAAAAACUUAAAAUUUGAGCGUAAAACAUAACUUGGAUAUAUAAAAUUAAUAACAAUGAAAGCUUAUAAUGAUUGUAGUUGAUAAUCAUAGCAACCAAUUUGUCAUAAAUUUAUUAACUACCAAAAAAUUAUGACAUAGGGUUGGUUUCAAGUUGAUAUUGAAAAUGUUAUUUUCAACAUAUGAUAGCUAAUUGUUUAGGUCCAGAGGCUGCUGCUAUUCUGAAAUGUUAAUGAUAAUUUCUGACAAAUGGGGUUAUCAUUGAUAUGAUUAUUGAGUUAAUGUUUACUUAAUGUUACUUAAGUAUAAUGUUUACUUAAAUAUAAUCUGGUUAAUUACUUUAACAUUCUUUUUGAAAAUUUUGUUUAUAUGUGAUAAAUACUAAAGUAUUAUCUAUAUAUUUGUACACUGCUACUUGACAAUCUGAAAUAAGUAUACAAAUUAUUGAAUAGAAAAUUUUCUUGAACAUGAUAAAAUGAUGACAGUACAGUUUAGAAAAAUGGGAUUUGGGAAUUGCUUUUGCUUUCUGCAAUAGAAAUUUUAAAGCUUUGUCAAAAACGAACAUUGUAAACAACAGAUGAAUUUUAAAGAGUCCACCAUUUUGUUCCUGUCUCCAUUUUUGCCUAUCAACAUUUUGAGUAUUGGGCAUGUAUAUCCAACUUUGUAUUUUUAGUGGCCAUUGUGAAUUAUAUUUGAGUGACCAUGAAGAAUAUGUGACUUAGAAACUAAAGCAGCAAAGUUUUUCAAAAUAUACUGAUUACCCCAAGGAAGAAGCAGGAAGAGAAUGAGAACUGAGGUGAACAUGAUAAAAAAUUUUGUUUGUAAGUUGAGAUUGCUGCUAAUGAACUUCUGAAGACAAAUAAGUUGCUCAGAAUAUAACUUCAUUUUAAUUCUUGUAACUAAACUGUAAGACACAGGGUAAAUCUCAAGAGAAGACUUCCUGGAAAAUACCUACUUGAGCAAAUUUAAGGUCCAAAUGGAAUCAUAGGUGAUAACUGAAUAGAAAUAUGAUGUCAUUGCAGCACAUUCACCAAAACCAAAAGAUGAUCUUCAUCAUGUCCAGAAUCUCCCUUUUCAUAUGUUACAUUGGACACUGUGUGCAAAUAAGAAAGCUGAACUGAGACUGUUUAUGUUUGAAUGUUACCUGAUGGAUGUCAUUGGAGAGAAUUGUUACCAGGCAUGUUGACUGUUUUCACUGUUUCCAGUGGACUAAACUCUCAGGAAUCUGAAUGGCUGAGACAUUCAAGAUGGUGUAACUGCAAGAAUUCCAUUCAGUGCUCCCACUAAGACUAUAUAUUAGCAUAGGGUGAUUUUAAGAUUAUUUAGACGUCAUCUUUUUCAAGAAUUCAGCGUACUUAGAAAUAAUUGUAAUUUAGUGGGAACUUGGGAAUAUAUUACAAUUAUAUUUUUAGUCAGUAGUACUCAUAAAUUUUGUUUCUUUUUUUUAUAAUAAAAUUGUUCAAAUAUCAAUGCUUCUAAUGUUAGGCAAUAUUAAUUACAAGGAAAUUACAUUUUUGUUAUUCUUAAGCUUAAUUGGCUUCAUAUACCUGUCAUCCUUAAUAGUCUCUUUUGUUACUUUGUUUUCAUCUCAGAGUAUCAGUCUCUAUUACUUGUUUCAAAGCAUACAUUUAUGGCUAGUAUUUUAAUAAUUUGUCAUACACUGCGAAUGAAUACCAUGUUUUGUUGCCCAUAUUUUACUAUGCUAUUGUUGUUGUACAGAAGUUGUAUUUUGAAAUAUAAUCAUGUUCUGGUGUAUGCUUUUUGUGUUUUGUGGUUUUUUGUUUUUUUUAAAUCAUGCUUUGUCUUCAUUUAUUCUGCUUUUUACCCAUUUUGUCAUCUUGUUUCCAUUAAUCAUUAAAAUGGUUUAAAGCAUCAUGUA
Molecule: long non-coding RNA, 2963 nt
Organism: Condylura cristata (star-nosed mole)
Lineage: Eukaryota; Metazoa; Chordata; Mammalia; Eulipotyphla; Talpidae
Exons: 4
Source: RefSeq, a predicted model, not a curated record